Molecule: transfer RNA, 71 nt
Filed under: Ovis aries (sheep)
Lineage: Eukaryota; Metazoa; Chordata; Mammalia; Artiodactyla; Bovidae
Rfam family: tRNA
About the family: Transfer RNA (tRNA) molecules are approximately 80 nucleotides in length. Their secondary structure includes four short double-helical elements and three loops (D, anti-codon, and T loops).
Source: Rfam by way of RNAcentral
UCCCUGGUGGCUCAGCGGUAAUGCGUCUGCCUGCAAUGCGGGAGACCCGGGUUCAAUUCCUGGAUCGGGAA